Molecule: ribosomal RNA, 460 nt
Filed under: uncultured bacterium
Lineage: Bacteria
Description: partial 16S ribosomal RNA
Rfam family: Bacterial small subunit ribosomal RNA
Source: RNAcentral
CCUACGGGUGGCAGCAGUGAGGAAUAUUGGUCAAUGGACGAGAGUCUGAACCAGCCAAGUAGCGUGAAGGAUGACUGCCCUAUGGGUUGUAAACUUCUUUUAUAAAGGAAUAAAACGAGGCACGUGUGCCUUUUUGCAUGUACUUUAUGAAUAAGGAUCGGCUAACUCCGUCCCAGCAGCCGCGGUAAUACGGAGGAUCCGAGCGUUAUCCGGAUUUAUUGGGUUUAAAGGGAGCGGAGAUGGGUUGUUAAGUCAGUUGUGAAAGGUUGCGGCUCAACCGUAAAAUUGCAAUUGAUACUGGCAGUCUUGAGUACAGUUGAGGUAGGCGGAAUUCGUGGUGUAGCGGUGAAAUGCUUAGAUAUCACGAAGAACCCCGAUUGCGAAGGCAGCUUACUAAACUGUGACUGACAUUGAUGCUCGAAAGUGUGGGUAUCAAACAGGAUUAGAUACCCGGGUAGUC